Gallus gallus (chicken) is the source of this 1715-nucleotide long non-coding RNA. NCBI's taxonomy places the organism in Eukaryota, Metazoa, Chordata, Aves, Galliformes, Phasianidae. The record is from Ensembl.
UGCACACUAAUUUAGAACAGUUUGUUAAGAAAUUGGUUUUGGAGAGAAAACAUGAGAGGAAGGGAAACAUCUCAAAAUAGUUUCAUACAAUCCCAGCCCAAACCUAUUGACUUCAGUGUGUCAUCAGUCUCCUGUGACAAUAAUAUGAGAAUUACCAUUUGUUUUCUUUAUGGGCACAAUGCAGCAGCUCUACUUAGCACAGCUCUGCUGCUGGGGCUGCCAAAAUCACCACUUCACUGAAGCCCAGGGCUGGGCAGUUGGCUGAAGAAUUUUCCCUUUUUCCCUUCUCCUGCUGGCUUCAGCAGCACAGUGGAGGGGAUGACUUUUGUAAUUCCCUUUUUCAAACUGCUGAAAUCAGGGUUUUUUUUUGGAUAUAAAGGAAAUGUGAAAGCAAUUUCAAUCUAAUUAAGCAUAUACAAUAGGUACCCAUAAUAUUCUCUAGUCAAAGAGCGUAUUGAUCUAUAAUGGAAGGUUUCAUUAAUUCCAUUUGAGGAGGCAUGUUAACAAAUGAGGGCAGUAACAUCUGAUCUGGUGAGUGCCUCGAGUUUCCUCUCUUCUUUCUGCACUAAAAUCUCAGAAUUAAGCUAACCAGAUCAAAUAUUAUUUUUCUUUUAUUUGUCCAUCUUCUUAUAGGACCUAUGGAUGGAAGGUCCUAUCUGCACAAUUAACGCAGAACUCCUACUGAAAUCUGUGUGUUUGCACCACUCUGCUGAGUUUCAAUUCUGACUACGUUAAUAAUUAGAAUUGUACGUAAUGUCAGUAAGAAGUCCCUCUAUCCAGAUUGGGCCACUAGCUGGAGAUACCACUCUCUAUACACUGAAAGUUCUCAACCACUAGCUUACAUUGGAAACCUUCCUACAACCAUCUGAAGUUAGAUGAGAUGAGUCCUGCUUUUUAUGUUAGAUACAGAAGAAGAAAGAAGUCGUCAAACCAAAACCAAUAUGUGGUGCUGAUAGAUGAGGACAUUCACCAUAUUCCCUUGACUAUAGAUUAUAUUCAGGCAACAACCCUGCCAUAAUUUCAGGAAAACAACUGCAGAGUCCUUGCACAAGACGUGACAGCAGUUCACAUAAAGAGAAACAGGCAGGGAGGAAGGGGUAACCAGGAACAUCCGCAGAAAUACACAGCUGAAGUUCUAGCAGCCCAGUGCUCAAGUGCGCACUCACAACGUGAUAAACAGAGAACUUCACAGACUGCCCAAGUCGUGCCUUGUCAUUCCUAUCACACAUAAAGGUUAAGAACAUCUGUGAUAACAGAUCUGCGAAACCUAAAAAAAAAAAGAUUCCUUUACCUACUGUGGGCUUACAGAAUCUGAAGUUAAAUUCCUGCUCAUUGUUUGGUAAGUUAACUCAUUUAUCAUUUCAAAAUAAGCUAGCUGGUUUGCUUCCUCAGUAUCUGAAGGGGUACAUGCACUUCUGCUAAUUGAAUCAUUGUUCUUGGAAACACUGCAGCUGAGUUCAUGAAAUACACAUAAGCAGGUGUAUCGUAAGUUUAAGCUGAGCAUUUGUAUUAGAAUUCAUAUGGAAAACCUUGAACUGUGAACUUCAGAAAUGGAAGUCCAAUAAGCCUUCCACAGUUCAAAAGAUUUCAUCAGCGUCUCAUUUACUGAAUACCUUAGGCACACCAACACAAUAAAUGUGAAAGAAGACUCUUCUUUCCAUGUUUUGACCCUCUUUUUCCAGGCCCUACAAGCUGUUUUCCCAUAUGACUUCAAC